This 279-nucleotide ribosomal RNA is filed under the name uncultured bacterium. RNAcentral's name for it is "partial 16S ribosomal RNA". It matches the Rfam family "Bacterial small subunit ribosomal RNA", at positions 506 to 784 of the family's 1533-position model. The record is from RNAcentral.
UGCCAGCCGCCGCGGUAAUACGGAGGGGGCAAGCGUUAAUCGGAAUUACUGGGCGUAAAGCGUACGUAGGAUGUGAUGCAAGUCGGAUGUGAAAUCCCCGGGCUCAACCUGGGAACUGCAUCCGAUACUGGGUAGCUAGAAUUUGAGAGAGGCAAGUGGAAUUUCCGGUGUAGCGGUGAAAUGCAUAGAGAUCGGAAGGAACACCAGUGGCGAAGGCGACUUGCUGGCUCAAAAUUGACGCUGAGGUGCGAAAGCGUGGGUAGCAAACAGGAUUAGAUA